This 73-nucleotide transfer RNA is filed under the name Caedimonas varicaedens. RNAcentral's name for it is "Caedibacter varicaedens tRNA". It matches the Rfam family "tRNA". From Rfam's summary of the family: Transfer RNA (tRNA) molecules are approximately 80 nucleotides in length. Their secondary structure includes four short double-helical elements and three loops (D, anti-codon, and T loops). The record is from Rfam by way of RNAcentral. Lineage: Bacteria; Pseudomonadati; Pseudomonadota; Alphaproteobacteria; Holosporales; Caedimonadaceae.
GCCUGGGUAGCUCAGUUGGUAGAGCAGAGGACUGAAAAUCCUCGUGUCGGGGGUUCAAUUCCCUCCCCAGGCA